GACGGAGGGUGCAAGCGUUGCUCGGAAUCACUGGGCGUAAAGGGUGCGUAGGCGGUCUCGCAAGUCUGGCGUGAAAUCCCUCGGCUCAACUGAGGAACUGCCUUUGAAACUGUCUGGCUUGAGGCCGGGAGAGGGUAGCGGAAUUCCCAGUGUAGCGGUGAAAUGCGUAGAUAUUGGGAGGAACACCAGUGGCGAAGGCGGCUACCUGGACCGGUUCUGACGCUGAGGCGCGAAAGCGUGGGUAGCAAACAGG
Molecule: ribosomal RNA, 253 nt
Filed under: uncultured bacterium
Lineage: Bacteria
Description: partial 16S ribosomal RNA
Rfam family: Bacterial small subunit ribosomal RNA
Source: RNAcentral